Molecule: ribosomal RNA, 445 nt
Filed under: uncultured bacterium
Lineage: Bacteria
Description: bacterial SSU rRNA
Rfam family: Bacterial small subunit ribosomal RNA
Source: RNAcentral
ACCAGACUCCUACGGGAGGCAGCAGUGGGGAAUAUUGCACAAUGGGGGAAACCCUGAUGCAGCGACGCCGCGUGUGGGAAGACGGUCCUCUGGAUUGUAAACCACUGUCCCCAGGGACGAAAAUGACGGUACCUGGGGAGGAAGCUCCGGCUAACUACGUGCCAGCAGCCGCGGUAAUACGUAGGGAGCGAGCGUUGUCCGGAAUUACUGGGUGUAAAGGGAGCGUAGGCGGGGAUGCAAGUUGGGUGUCAAAACUACCGGCUCAACUGGUAGUCGCACUCAAAACUGCAGCUCUUGAGUGAAGUAGAGGCAGGCGGAAUUCCCAGUGUAGCGGUGAAAUGCGUAGAUAUAUGGAAGAACACCAGUGGCGAAAGCGGCUCUCUGGUCUGUAACUGACGCUGAGGUUCGAAAGCGUGGGUAGCAAACAGGAUUAGAUACCCUGGUA